This 391-nucleotide ribosomal RNA is filed under the name uncultured bacterium. RNAcentral describes it as "bacterial SSU rRNA". It matches the Rfam family "Bacterial small subunit ribosomal RNA", at positions 29 to 419 of the family's 1533-position model. The record is from RNAcentral.
AUUGAACGCUGGCGGCAUGCCUUACACAUGCAAGUCGAACGGCAGCACGGGAGCAAUCCUGGUGGCGAGUGGCGAACGGGUGAGUAAUAUAUCGGAACGUGCCCGGUCGUGGGGGAUAACGUAGCGAAAGCUACGCUAAUACCGCAUACGAUCUACGGAUGAAAGCGGGGGGAUCGCAAGACCUCGCGCGAUUGGAGCGGCCGAUAUCAGAUUAGGUAGUUGGUGAGGUAAAGGCUCACCAAGCCGGACGAUCUGUAGCUGGUCUGAGAGGACGACCAGCCACACUGGGACUGAGACACGGCCCAGACUCCUACGGGAGGCAGCAGUGGGAAUUUUGGACAAUGGGCGCAAGCCUGAUCCAGCAAUGCCGCGUGCAGGAUGGAAGGCCUUC